This 616-nucleotide ribosomal RNA is filed under the name uncultured bacterium. Its description in RNAcentral is "bacterial SSU rRNA". The stretch from base 1 to 519 matches the Rfam family "Bacterial small subunit ribosomal RNA", at positions 338 to 873 of the family's 1533-position model. The record is from RNAcentral.
CCUACGGGAGGCAGCAGUGGGGAAUAUUGGACAAUGGGCGAAAGCCUGAUCCAGCAAUGCCGCGUGAGUGAUGAAGGCCUUAGGGUUGUAAAGCUCUUUUACCAGGGAUGAUAAUGACAGUACCUGGAGAAUAAGCUCCGGCUAACUCCGUGCCAGCAGCCGCGGUAAUACGGAGGGAGCUAGCGUUGUUCGGAAUUACUGGGCGUAAAGCGUGCGUAGGCGGUGAUUCAAGUCAGAGGUGAAAGCCUGGAGCUCAACUCCAGAACGGCCUUUGAAACUAGAUCGCUAGAAUUAUGGAGAGGUAAGUGGAAUUCCGAGUGUAGAGGUGAAAUUCGUAGAUAUUCGGAAGAACACCAGUGGCGAAGGCGACUUACUGGACAUAUAUUGACGCUGAGGUACGAAAGCGUGGGGAGCAAACAGGAUUAGAUACCCUGGUAGUCCACGCCGUAAACGAUGAUAACUAGCUGUUCGGGCUCUCAGAGCUUGAGUGGCGCAGCUACGACAUUAAGUUAGUCCGCCGUGGGAGGUACGGUCGGCGAAGUAAGUUAAACGUUAAAGGUUAAAGUUAGUACGGUUACGUUGAGACGUUGCCGACGGACGACGACGAGGGAGGAGG